GUAGGGAAUAUUGGACAAUGGGCGGAAGCCUGAUCCAGCCAUGCCGCGUGAGUGAUGAAGGCCUUAGGGUUGUAAAGCUCUUUCAGUAGGGAAGAUAAUGACGGUACCUACAGAAGAAGCCCCGGCUAACUUCGUGCCAGCAGCCGCGGUAAUACGAAGGGGGCUAGCGUUGUUCGGAUUUACUGGGCGUAAAGCGCACGUAGGCGGAUUGGUCAGUUAGAGGUGAAAUCCUGGAGCUCAACUCCAGAACUGCCUUUAAUACUGCCAGUCUAGAGUCCAGAAGAGGUGAGUGGAACUCCUAGUGUAGAGGUGGAAUUCGUAGAUAUUAGGAAGAACACCAGUGGCGAAGGCGGCUCACUGGUCUGGUACUGACGCUGAGGUGCGAAAGCGUGGGGAGCAAACAGGAUUAGAAACCCGGGUAGUCC
RNAcentral lists this ribosomal RNA (425 nucleotides) under uncultured bacterium. Its description in RNAcentral is "partial 16S ribosomal RNA". It matches the Rfam family "Bacterial small subunit ribosomal RNA", at positions 354 to 796 of the family's 1533-position model. The record is from RNAcentral.